Molecule: ribosomal RNA, 369 nt
Filed under: uncultured bacterium
Lineage: Bacteria
Description: bacterial SSU rRNA
Rfam family: Bacterial small subunit ribosomal RNA
Source: RNAcentral
ACGUAGGUGGCAAGCGUUGUCCGGAUUUAUUGGGUUUAAAGGGUGCGUAGGCGGCUUUGUAAGUCAGUGGUGAAAUACGGCAGCUCAACUGUCGAGGUGCCAUUGAUACUGCAGAGCUAGAGUACUGAUGAGGUAGGCGGAAUGGACGGUGUAGCGGUGAAAUGCUUAGAUAUCGUCCAGAACACCGAUAGCGAAGGCAGCUUACUAAAGAGUAACUGACGCUGAGGCACGAAAGUGUGGGGAUCAAACAGGAUUAGAUACCCUGGUAGUCCACACUGUAAACGUUGAUCACUAGAUGUUGGCGAUACACUGCCAGCGUUCCAGCAAAAGCGAUAAGUGAUCCACCUGGGGAGUACGCCCGCAAGGGUG